GACGAAGGGUGCAAGCGUUAUCCGGAUUUAUUGGGUUUAAAGGGCGCGUAGGUGGUCUUAUAAGUCAGUGGUGAAAUCUCUGGGCUUAACCCAGAAAUUGCCAUUGAUACUGUAUGACUUGAGUAUAGUUGCCGUUGGCGGAAUAUGACAUGUAGUGGUGAAAUACAUAGAGAUGUCAUAGAACACCGAUUGCGAAGGCAGCUAACGAAACUAUAACUGACACUGAGGCUCGAAAGUGCGGGGAUCAAACAGG
This 253-nucleotide ribosomal RNA is filed under the name uncultured bacterium. RNAcentral describes it as "partial 16S ribosomal RNA". It matches the Rfam family "Bacterial small subunit ribosomal RNA", at positions 524 to 776 of the family's 1533-position model. The record is from RNAcentral.